GCUCCGCAAACGGCUGAUCUUCAGCUACUUCGAGCUCGGGAUUGGCCGCCUUGGCAAGCUGUGCUACGCUACUCUCUAUCCCUCUGACACCCCAUGCAUAUUUCUGCACUGCACACUGGAGCUCCAUGUUUCUUGUCUUAAUUAUAGGCCUAUGCCACGCCGACAAUGCAGAUAUUAAGGUGACGUGAAGGUUGAAUGAAUCAGCUGAUGCGUGACGUGACGUACUCACUGCCGGUUGAGUUGCCAGUUAUGUUAUUUUAUUUUUGUUUUUUUACCGGCCCAAUCACUUGAUCAUCUUGAGGCAAUGAAUGGCUUUAUAAUUUUUAACGGAUAGCUAU
RNAcentral lists this long non-coding RNA (338 nucleotides) under Penaeus japonicus. Its description in RNAcentral is "uncharacterized LOC122253516". The record is from RNAcentral. Lineage: Eukaryota; Metazoa; Arthropoda; Malacostraca; Decapoda; Penaeidae.